WUAAGCAUAUCACUAAGCGGAGGAGAAGAAACUAACCMGGAUGCCCCUAGUAAUGGCGAAUGAAGCGGGCAUAGCUCACGCCGCCAAUYUGAAGGCCUUAUUCUUAUACAGAAGCCUUCCGAAUUGUAGUCUAGAAAGGCGCCAUCGGCCGCGUCCGUCGCUCAAAUCCCUUGGAACGGGGUAUCGGAGAAGGUGAGAAUCCUGUGCCGUGGCGGAUAGCGGUCGCACGAUGCGUCCUUGUCGAGUCGGGUUGCUUGGGAUUGCAGCUUGAAGUGGGUGGUAAAUUCCAUCUAAAGCUAAAUACUGGCGAGAGACCGAUAGCGAACAAGUACCGUGAGGGAAAGAUGCAAAGAACUUUGAAAAGAGAGUUAAAGAGUGCUUGAAAUCGGCAAGAGGAAACCCGUUUGCGCCCGGCCUCGCGUCGUCGACUCAGCCGUUCUUUUGAGCGGUGCACUUUGUCGUCGCGGGUCAGCGUUCGCUCUUUCGGCGUGACACGGCGUACCGCAGGGCCUUUUGGCGAUCGGUUCGCACUCUCGCGGGAGGGGCGUUGGCUGACGGAACGGGCGCAACCGACCCGUCUUGAA
RNAcentral lists this ribosomal RNA (584 nucleotides) under Dicrateria rotunda. RNAcentral describes it as "partial 28S ribosomal RNA". It matches the Rfam family "Eukaryotic large subunit ribosomal RNA", at positions 34 to 658 of the family's 3401-position model. The record is from RNAcentral. Lineage: Eukaryota; Haptophyta; Isochrysidales; Isochrysidaceae.